Molecule: ribosomal RNA, 352 nt
Filed under: uncultured bacterium
Lineage: Bacteria
Description: partial 16S ribosomal RNA
Rfam family: Bacterial small subunit ribosomal RNA
Source: RNAcentral
GNAGGGGGCAAGCGNCAUCCGAANCUAUNGGGUNUAAAGGGAGCGUAGAUGGAUGNNUAAGNCAGUNGUGAAAGNNUGCGGCUCAACCGUAAAAUCGCAGUNGAUACUGGAUAUCUUGAGUGCAGUNGAGGCAGGCGGAAUUCGUGGUGUAGCGGUGAAAUGCUUAGAUAUCACGAAGAACUCCGAUUGCGAAGGCAGCUCACUGGACUGCAACUGACACUGAUGCUCGAAAGUGUGGGUAUCAAACAGGAUUAGAUACCCUGGUAGUCCACACAGUAAACGAUGAAUACUCGCUGUUUGCGAUAUACAGUAAGCGGCCAAGCGAAAGCGUUAAGUAUUCCACCUGGGGAGU